Molecule: ribosomal RNA, 450 nt
Filed under: uncultured bacterium
Lineage: Bacteria
Description: bacterial SSU rRNA
Rfam family: Bacterial small subunit ribosomal RNA
Source: RNAcentral
GUGGGGAAUCUCCCGCAAUGGACGAAAGUCUGACGGAGCAACGCCGCGUGAGUGAUGAAGGUCUUCGGAUUGUAAAGCUCUGUUAAUCGGGACGAAAGAGCCUAGUGUGAAUAAUGCUAGGAAGUGACGGUACCGGAAUAGAAAGCCACGGCUAACUACGUGCCAGCAGCCGCGGUAAUACGUAGGUGGCAAGCGUUGUCCGGAAUUAUUGGGCGUAAAGCGCGCGCAGGCGGAUCUGCCAGUCUGUCUUAAAAGUUCGGGGCUUAACCCCGUGAUGGGAUGGAAACUACAGAUCUAGAGUAUCGGAGAGGAAAGUGGAAUUCCUAGUGUAGCGGUGAAAUGCGUAGAUAUUAGGAAGAACACCAGUGGCGAAGGCGACUUUCUGGACGAAAACUGACGCUGAGGCGCGAAAGCCAGGGGAGCGAACGGGAUUAGAUACCCCGGUAGUCC